This 779-nucleotide ribosomal RNA is filed under the name Streptomyces rochei. RNAcentral describes it as "bacterial SSU rRNA". It matches the Rfam family "Bacterial small subunit ribosomal RNA", at positions 42 to 837 of the family's 1533-position model. Lineage: Bacteria; Bacillati; Actinomycetota; Actinomycetes; Kitasatosporales; Streptomycetaceae. The record is from RNAcentral.
GGGCGUCUUACCAUGCAGUCGUACCAUGGUACCGUACGGUGGGGAUUAGUGGCGAACGGGUGAGUAACACGUGGGCAAUCUGCCCUGCACUCUGGGACAAGCCCUGGAAACGGGGUCUAAUACCGGAUACUGAUCCUUGCAGGCAUCUGUGAGGUUCGAAAGCUCCGGCGGUGCAGGAUGAGCCCGCGGCCUAUCAGCUUGUUGGUGAGGUAGUGGCUCACCAAGGCGACGACGGGUAGCCGGCCUGAGAGGGCGACCGGCCACACUGGGACUGAGACACGGCCCAGACUCCUACGGGAGGCAGCAGUGGGGAAUAUUGCACAAUGGGCGAAAGCCUGAUGCAGCGACGCCGCGUGAGGGAUGACGGCCUUCGGGUUGUAAACCUCUUUCAGCAGGGAAGAAGCGAAAGUGACGGUACCUGCAGAAGAAGCGCCGGCUAACUACGUGCCAGCAGCCGCGGUAAUACGUAGGGCGCAAGCGUUGUCCGGAAUUAUUGGGCGUAAAGAGCUCGUAGGCGGCUUGUCACGUCGGUUGUGAAAGCCCGGGGCUUAACCCCGGGUCUGCAGUCGAUACGGGCAGGCUAGAGUUCGGUAGGGGAGAUCGGAAUUCCUGGUGUAGCGGUGAAAUGCGCAGAUAUCAGGAGGAACACCGGUGGCGAAGGCGGAUCUCUGGGCCGAUACUGACGCUGAGGAGCGAAAGCGUGGGGAGCGAACAGGAUUAGAUACCCUGGUAGUCCACGCCGUAAACGGUGGGCACUAGGUGUGGGCAACAUUCCACGU